This 364-nucleotide ribosomal RNA is filed under the name uncultured bacterium. Its description in RNAcentral is "bacterial SSU rRNA". It matches the Rfam family "Bacterial small subunit ribosomal RNA", at positions 28 to 408 of the family's 1533-position model. The record is from RNAcentral.
GACGAACGCUGGCGGCGUGCCUAACACAUGCAAGUCAAGGCGGUAGCAAUACCGACUGGCGCACGGGUGCGGAACACGUAGGUAAUCUGCCCUUUAGGGGAGAACAACUCAUCGAAAGGUGAGCUAAAUCUCCGUAAUGUUUUACUAUGGCAUCAUAGUUCAACCAAGUUUUCUAAGGGAUGAGCCUGCGUCUGAUUAGCUAGUUGGUGAGGUAACUGCUCACCAAGGCUACGAUCAGUAGCUGGUCUGAGAGGAUGAUCAGCCACAUUGGGACUGAGACACGGCCCAGACUCCUACGGGAGGCAGCAGUGAGGAAUAUUGCUCAAUGGAACGAAAGUCUGAAGCAGCAACGCCGCGUGAGGGA